RNAcentral lists this ribosomal RNA (253 nucleotides) under uncultured bacterium. RNAcentral's name for it is "partial 16S ribosomal RNA". It matches the Rfam family "Bacterial small subunit ribosomal RNA", at positions 524 to 776 of the family's 1533-position model. The record is from RNAcentral.
UACGUAGGUGGCAAGCGUUGUCCGGAUUUACUGGGUGUAAAGGGCGUGUAGCCGGGCUGACAAGUCAGAUGUGAAAUCCGGGGGCUCAACCCCCGAACUGCAUUUGAAACUGUUAGUCUUGAGUACCGGAGAGGUCAUCGGAAUUCCUUGUGUAGCGGUGAAAUGCGUAGAUAUAAGGAAGAACACCAGUGGCGAAGGCGGAUGACUGGACGGCAACUGACGGUGAGGCGCGAAAGCGUGGGGAGCAAACAGG